UGCAGGAAGGUUGUCUAUGAAGACACAUUGGUUGUGGGCAUGAGCAGGCAGAAUGGGGCCAUUUGAUGAAUUGGAGUUGGGAUGACCAUCACCAUGAAUUUGUAUAGCAAUUCCCCACAGUGCUUUCUUCAUUUUCACAGCAGAAAACAGGGGUCUACAAAGCCUUAUACAAGUUGAGGUGCAGCCAUGCUCUGCUUCAACUUGACUGUCUUGUGAUAUUCUCACAACCCUGUUUCUGGUGAGUCUACCUGGAGCAGCCCUGCACCUGUGCCUGGAUCAGCCCCUCCAUCCCUCCACCCUGCAGUACAGACUUCCCACUGCUGGCUUCACUCCGGAGUACAGCAUGAACAAGCUGAAGUACUCUUCAGUUUUCCCGUGUGGAAUUGAAGUGUCUGACUUUGAAAAGUGGUUAAGGACCUCACUUCAACAUUGGUCUUGAGCAGAGGACAACCCGGGACUUGGAGGACUGAGGACCUUGGUUUGCAGAUUGCAGCAGAGCAGUGCAUGUCAGUGUGGGGACCAAGGUCAGGAGCCUCCUUGCUGGAGUCUCAGGUCCUCCUUAGGAACUGGUUCCAGAGGCACUCCUGGAUGUGGGAGGAUGCCUCGUGAGUGACAUGAACACCAGGACAAGGGUUGGAGACAGUGCACCAGGGAGGAUUCUGAGGAUUCUCACCUAGAACAUGAAUUCCACAAGCUCUGUUCAUGUGGAGACACAGAGACAGACUGAGGCAGAGACAGAGCAUGGACCCAGGAGAGAGGAAACCAGGAAAAACCACAGACUUGCAUAAAGCAGCUUGGAAAUGACACCCCAUCAUUCCUUCUAUCCCUUAGAGCAAAGUCACAUGGGCCACCCACCCAGGAAGGGAGGGCAUAACAGGGAUGUGUGACCAGGAUUCAGGAACACUGGGAGACACUAUGGGGACUGCCCCAUAGCAUCAUCAGCCCAGAGGAUGCACUGGGACCUGAGCCCAAAUAUCAUGGAAGACCAUGUAAGUGUGUGU
RNAcentral lists this long non-coding RNA (1001 nucleotides) under Felis catus (domestic cat). RNAcentral describes it as "lncRNA (ENSFCAG00000050149.1)". Lineage: Eukaryota; Metazoa; Chordata; Mammalia; Carnivora; Felidae. The record is from RNAcentral.